This is a long non-coding RNA of Vespa mandarinia (Asian giant hornet), 1129 nucleotides long. Lineage: Eukaryota; Metazoa; Arthropoda; Insecta; Hymenoptera; Vespidae. The record is from RefSeq and is a predicted model, not a curated record.
AAUUAGCACGUUGAAAGUUUAUUAAAUGAUAUUCGUUUGUAGAAAUUAAAAACUAAUCUCUAAGUAUGAGUUUAAUUGAAAGAUUUUAACGCAUCAAGAAAUAAAGCGGAUCAAAUUAUUUUUAAAGUAAAGCAUAAUAACUUGAAGAAGCUGAUACUGGAACCUUUCCGUAAUAUUAUUCGUUACCGACAUUUAAUAAAACGUUUUUACUUGGUAUGAAGCAGUGUCUUACAAGGGAAUAUACUAUAUUUAUCAUAGAAAGAGGAUCAAAAUAAAGUCUGGAAGACCAUAUUGUUAAAAUGUGGGAAAGACAGAAGAUUUCUAGAAAGAAUAAUAACGGAUCUGAGCUACAAUCGUCAAUCAGAGAAUUGACAAAAUGUUUUAAAAGAAGUAUUCUGUUAAUUGAUAAUAUUAUAGCAUUGAAUUGGCUAACCAUUGAUGCUCAGCAAUCUGUUACUUCAUUUAAGAAUAAAAGAUGAUGACGUCGAUCCAGAAAUGUAUCAUUAUGCACUGGAUUAUUACUAUGCUAAGGAAAUGAACGCAACAAAGGAAUAUUCCAUUGUGCAAUAAAUUGGACUGGCUUUUAAUUGAUCCUCAAUAAGAAUGUCGCCACGAUAAGAUCAUGUCUCAACAAACUGUUCAAUCCUCCAUGACUACUAGAUUUUCAUUGAAUAAGAACGAUUAUUAUUUGUAUGAAAAUAGAAAAGAAAAAUAUCUUAAGGUUCAAGGAUAUCAUUCGAUAAUAUGUAUUCAUCAAUUAGUCGAUGGUUUCUCGUCGAAAGAUUCAUUAUAUUCUCUACCGAAAGAUUCAUUAUGUAUGCAAAGAUUGAGAAAAGCAAGAGAACUAUCCAAGAGAUCAUCGGAAUCAUUUGAAAGGAUAUUGAAGAACAUACAGAUGAAGACAGAGUAAAUUUAUUUAUCGAAUUUGCUAGCCUUAUAACAAUCGUAGAAGAGGAGAAAAGCAGUUUAUUACAAAUGCAAUCAUACUUUUUGGUCAUAUUAUGGAUAAAUUUCGUUAGAAGGAAAUUAUUUAGAUCUGCUAAUUGAAAGGGGAAAAUGUUUUGUUUUAUUAUGGUAGAACGAUUGUUGAUGAGAGAAGAAUAAGUUUGAGAUGUAGACCAUGUUCUUG